This 253-nucleotide ribosomal RNA is filed under the name uncultured bacterium. RNAcentral's name for it is "partial 16S ribosomal RNA". It matches the Rfam family "Bacterial small subunit ribosomal RNA", at positions 524 to 776 of the family's 1533-position model. The record is from RNAcentral.
UACAGAGGUCCCAAGCGUUGUUCGGAUUCACUGGGCGUAAAGGGUGCGUAGGCGGUCGGGUAAGUCUGAUGUGAAAUCUCACAGCUUAACUGUGAAACUGCAUUGGAUACUAUCCGGCUCGAGGAAUGGAGGGGAGACUGGAAUUCCUGGUGUAGCGGUGGAAUGCGCAGAUAUCAGGAGGAACACCGGUGGCGAAGGCGGUGGUCUGGGCCGGAACUGACGCUGAGGAGCGAAAGCGUGGGGAGCGAACAGG